Molecule: ribosomal RNA, 759 nt
Filed under: Triticum aestivum (bread wheat)
Lineage: Eukaryota; Viridiplantae; Streptophyta; Magnoliopsida; Poales; Poaceae
Description: partial small subunit ribosomal RNA
Source: RNAcentral
AUGUCAAUCGCUUCACUGUCUGGCAAAAAAAGCUCAAUCGGUCAUCCCCAAGGUGGCAAAACGAGGCGAUGUCCAGGGCCGGACCUUCCACAGGGCAUCUGGGAUGAUAUAUUGGCACUGCUGCCACUGCAAGAUGCUGUCAGAGCUGGCUGUGUGUCUCACACAUUACUAAGCUCCUGGAGAUGCCGUCCCGACCUCACCUUCAGCAAUGAAACACUGGGCCUGGAUGGAAAUGUGUAUGGAAGCAAUAAACUCGCAAGGGUUUUGGCCAAGAGAGUUGACCGCAUCAUGAAAAAACACUCAGGCAUUGGAGUGAAGAAAUUUGAACUUCACUAUGGUGGUUCUUCCCUCAAAUCUAGUUAUCUCGACAGGUGGCUUCGCAUUGCAGUUGCUCCAGGGAUCGAAGAAGUCAUACUUUUGGUGCCGGGACAACCCAACGAAACGUAUCACAACUUCCCAUGCUCACUUUUAUCCAAUGGGAGUGGAAGCUCGAUUCAGCAUCUCCGCCUCACCUCUUGUGCCUUCCAUCCAGUGGCUGGUUUCGGCUGCUUGAGAAGGCUGCAUCUCGAUGAAGUGGAUAGAGAGCAGUUUUUCCUACCGCGUCCUACAUGGUACCCCAUAUCAGAGGCGUCCAUACGGGCUCCAGUUUUCAUGUGGAUGUGUGCCUCGAUGCGAAUUUCAGCAGCUGGAACCAGGCGCUCGAACCUCAAUCCUCUGCCCCGAGGCCUACUCAAUUUUAAAUUUGGAUGGGCCUGGUAG